This 253-nucleotide ribosomal RNA is filed under the name uncultured bacterium. RNAcentral describes it as "partial 16S ribosomal RNA". It matches the Rfam family "Bacterial small subunit ribosomal RNA", at positions 524 to 776 of the family's 1533-position model. The record is from RNAcentral.
UACGUAGGGGGCAAGCGUUGUCCGGAAUCAUUGGGCGUAAAGCGCGCGUAGGCGGCCCGGUAAGUCCGUUGUGAAAGUCAAAGGCUCAACCUUUGAAAGCCGAUGGAUACUGCCGGGCUAGAGUCCGGAAGAGGCGAGUGGAAUUCCUGGUGUAGCGGUGAAAUGCGCAGAUAUCGGGAGGAACACCAAUGGCGAAGGCAGCUCGCUGGGACGGUACUGACGCUGAGACGCGAAAGCGUGGGGAGCAAACAGG